Octopus sinensis (East Asian common octopus) is the source of this 173-nucleotide long non-coding RNA. RefSeq lists it as uncharacterized. The record is from RefSeq and is a predicted model, not a curated record. Lineage: Eukaryota; Metazoa; Mollusca; Cephalopoda; Octopoda; Octopodidae. The transcript has 3 exons.
GAUGAGGAUAGCUGUGUGAAAAAGUGCCACACCCUAGCAGUUGAGGGAACCUGUGGAAGUGGUAGACCCAGGAAGACCUGGGAUGAGGUGGUGAAGCACAACUUUCGAACAUUGAGCCUCACUAAGGCAAUGACAAGUGACCGAGACCUUUGGAGAUAUGCUGUGAUUGAGAA